UUGCAUGUAGUUAUUAUAUCUCUUUUUAUUUUAAAAAUAGUUCACCCUUUUGUAUGUGAGCAAUGUUUUUUCUUAUGUGCUAUACAAAUAGUUGAAGGUUAAUUGGCAAUGUAACUAUAAAUAGUAAUGCUGCCAGUCUCCUUCAGACAAAA
This 152-nucleotide small nucleolar RNA is filed under the name Otolemur garnettii (small-eared galago). Lineage: Eukaryota; Metazoa; Chordata; Mammalia; Primates; Galagidae. The record is from RNAcentral.